This 480-nucleotide ribosomal RNA is filed under the name uncultured bacterium. Its description in RNAcentral is "partial 16S ribosomal RNA". It matches the Rfam family "Bacterial small subunit ribosomal RNA", at positions 28 to 506 of the family's 1533-position model. The record is from RNAcentral.
GAUGAACGCUGGCGGCGUGCUUAACACAUGCAAGUCGAACGAAGCACUUUAUUUGAUUUCCUUCGGGACUGAUUAUUUUGUGACUGAGUGGCGGACGGGUGAGUAACGCGUGGGUAACCUGCCUUGUACAGGGGGAUAACAGUUGGAAACGGCUGCUAAUACCGCAUAAGCGCCCAGCAUCGCAUGAUGCAGUGUGAAAAACUCCGGUGGUAUAAGAUGGACCCGCGUUGGAUUAGCUAGUUGGUGAGGUAACGGCCCACCAAGGCGACGAUCCAUAGCCGACCUGAGAGGGUGACCGGCCACAUUGGGACUGAGACACGGCCCAAACUCCUACGGGAGGCAGCAGUGGGGAAUAUUGCACAAUGGGCGAAAGCCUGAUGCAGCGACGCCGCGUGAGCGAAGAAGUAUUUCGGUAUGUAAAGCUCUAUCAGCAAGGAAGAUAAUGACGGUACCUGACUAAGAAGCACCGGCUAAAUACGU